RNAcentral lists this ribosomal RNA (648 nucleotides) under Triticum aestivum (bread wheat). Its description in RNAcentral is "partial small subunit ribosomal RNA". Lineage: Eukaryota; Viridiplantae; Streptophyta; Magnoliopsida; Poales; Poaceae. The record is from RNAcentral.
AUGGAUCUGGAGUGUCCGGUAUUAUGUGGACGUCUCCCUGUUGUGGUGAAAUUGUGGGGUGUGGGAGGUGCCGAGCGAAAGCUUUGCUUCUCAGACGUUAGAGGCGGCGUGCCUCCAGUACGGGUCAUCUUCCUGGGGACGGCACGGCAGCGCCGCCAUGAAUCAAGCCGCCGCGCGCGGCCGGUAUACCUUUCCCGCUACCCUCCAGCAGCGCGGCCGUUGCCCUUUUCUUCCCCUCCUCACCCGCCCCAACUCCUCACCCCCAGCCUCCUCGGCCUCAACGCGGACGUCUCCGAUUUGGAUAGGAUUCGACGCCGCCACGCGCGGCCGGUCUUCAUCUCUAGCUAUCCUCCAGCAGCGCCGCCGUUGCCCUGUUCUUCGCCUCCUCACCCGCCCCAACUCCUCACCCCCAGCCUCCUCCGCCUCGAGGAGGACGGCUCCGAUUUGGAGCUCAAGUACUGCCUCCUGACACCUCCAUCCCCAAGUACGUGCUCCCGUCAGACGAGGACGAGGUGCGGGUUGUUGGCUGAUCAGGAUACCCAAUUCUCAAACAAGCAUGCUGAGAUGCUCAAGAUAUGGAAGUUCGCCCACAAGCUCGACCACCAGGUGAACAUGUCAAAGGUGCAGAUGGACAUGAUGAAGCCGUGA